GAAAAAAGAGUUCAAGAGUACGUGAAACUGCUCAAGGCUAAACGGGUGGGCCCUCGAAGUCCGAGCGGAGAGGGAUUCAGUCGCGAGCCACGAGGGGUGCCGGCAUUGUAACAAGUCCGGACUCCGGAGGGAGCCGCGGCGAUGGCACCGUCCUCGGGACGCGCGAUGCAUUUUCCUCUCCCGUGGGACGCCGCAGCCGGUGGGGCGUCGGCAGUGAGGACCUGGUCGGUAGGAGGCAUGGAUCGUGGCCUCGCGCUACGUGUCUGCCCGGCCGCGUGUCCGUGCGUGACGCCCGAACGGCCUCGCCCUGCGAGCGGGCCCCCGAGCCAGGGAAUGCGUGCGUAGCUGCCCCGUGUCACCAAGCCAGUGUCUGGGGCCGCACGCGCCCCGGACAGGGGCGGGGUUGCAGCCCGUGGCGUUACGGCUUGCGGUGAGUAGGUCGGUAACCCACCCGACCCGUCUUAAAACACGACCAAACAGUCUAACAUGUGCGCGAGUCAGUGGGGUCGAUCAAGCCCACGGGCGGAACGAAAGUGAGCACGUCGGGAUCCCCGUCCCUCGGGGCGGGGCGCACUGACGCGACCCCACCGAGCGUGGGAGCCGCCGGUGCCGGAGCGCACACGUUAGGACCCGAAAGAUGGUAAACUAUGCCCGGGCAGGUCGAAGCUAGAGGAAACUCUGGUGGAGGACCGCAGCGGUCUGACGUGC
This 708-nucleotide ribosomal RNA is filed under the name Micropholcus delicatulus. RNAcentral's name for it is "eukaryotic LSU rRNA". The stretch from base 472 to 708 matches the Rfam family "Eukaryotic large subunit ribosomal RNA", at positions 665 to 894 of the family's 3401-position model. The record is from RNAcentral. Lineage: Eukaryota; Metazoa; Arthropoda; Arachnida; Araneae; Pholcidae.